Triticum dicoccoides is the source of this 789-nucleotide long non-coding RNA. RefSeq lists it as uncharacterized. The transcript has 3 exons. The record is from RefSeq and is a predicted model, not a curated record. NCBI's taxonomy places the organism in Eukaryota, Viridiplantae, Streptophyta, Magnoliopsida, Poales, Poaceae.
AAAAACAAAACCGUCCCCCGAAUCUCCCUCUCUCUCGGCGGCAUCAUAUCGGGCGGCGGCGGCGGCGGCGACGGCGGGUCGUAGGGCUUGAUGCUCUGAGGUUUCUCCGGCAUCGGCGCCAUGGCUCCGCAUUACCAGGCCACCACCCUGAUUGCCUCCCCGUCCUAUCCAGAUGCCAUCACCUGGUCAAGUGACAACUUGGUGGCCGUUGCCUCUGGCCACAUCGUCACUAUCCUGAACCCAGCAGCACUUGAUGGGCCUCGCGGACUCGUUGUGCUUCGCCCUAGGGACCCUUUUCCCAUUGGAGUGGUUAGCAGGGAAGGUAGGUCCUAUGUUGAAUGCGUAUUGUACAUGUUAGAAGAGUGCUCAUGCAGUUUGAUUGGCACAAUGGGGUGAAAUAAUUAUUUCAUACUGAGAGUCUUUUGAUUAUGGUUGCAUAGUCAGUAUAAUGCUUGUGAGAAUUCAAGACUCGUAGUGUUAGUUUGGACACAUCGUGAGCAACUUGACGCUUUGAAACGAUGAAUUCAGUGAGUGCUUUUGUUGAGAUCGUCGAGGGCCCUCCAAAGGAUGAUGAUGAUGAUGAUGAUGAUGAUGAUUAAUAUACCAACUUGUUUCAAUCUGUCCGAAAUAUUGAAGAUUGUUCAGCUGUUCUAUAGUAAGAAUUUGUUAGCAUCGAUAUUAGAGUGAGAAUAGGAUAUGCUAGUAUGCUGUUCUAAUGAAGUGGAAAUGCCACUUGUUUGGGACGGACUACAGUGAAAGUAUCUGGAUGACAUUUAAGAAGUCGGCUAC